AGUGGGAUAGCUGGGUCGAAUAGUAGUUCUAGUCCCAGUUUUCUAAGGAAUCUCGAUACUGCUUUCCAGAGUGGUUAUACCAAUUUGCAGUGCCACCAGCAAU
RNAcentral lists this microRNA precursor (103 nucleotides) under Marmota monax (woodchuck). The record is from RNAcentral. Lineage: Eukaryota; Metazoa; Chordata; Mammalia; Rodentia; Sciuridae.